Molecule: long non-coding RNA, 6543 nt
Organism: Homo sapiens (human)
Lineage: Eukaryota; Metazoa; Chordata; Mammalia; Primates; Hominidae
Exons: 5
Source: RefSeq, a predicted model, not a curated record
GGUUUGACAAGCUUGUUGUAACUUAGAAAUGUAUUUAAUACACCUAGGCUACAGAAUAUCAUAGGUUAGCCUAGCCUACUUUAAAUACGCCCAGAACACUUAUAUUAGUGUACUUGGGCAAAAUCACCUAACACAAAGCCUAUUUAGUAAUAAAGUGCUGAAUAUCUCAUGUAAUUUAUUGAAUACUGUACUGAAAGUGAAAAACGGAAUGGUUAUAUGAGUACUUAAAAUGCAGUUUCUACUGACUGACUUUUACACCAUCUUAAAAUUGAAAAAUUUUAAGUAGAGAACUGUCUGUAUUGUAUUCUUGAAAUCUGCUAAAAGAGCAGGCCUUAAAAGUUCUCACUACACACCCAGGUAACUAUGUGAAGUGAUGGAGGUGUCGACUAACUUGAUAUCACUUCACAAUGUUUACAUAUAUCAAAGCAUUGUAACUCAAUUGCAGAUUCAGUCACUCGAUGCUUGCCGAGUCCAGUUUACAAGGGUGAGGUCUGAUAUAAAGAAAGUGACUUUUUAAUCGAAAGUUUAGCUUAUGGAAAGAAGUCCAGGCUCUUGCCUUUAAAGGCACUGCUUCACUUUUGGGGCAGAAAGCCAGAGCUUUUAAAGGGGAACUUGGCGUGAAUGGCAGGCAGGGAAGGAGCAGUUGGGGGUCUAGGCGACUUGCUUUGUUGCCUUAUCUACCCAGGGGUUGAGCUAGUGCUAGACUGUAAGGUGGCUGUGGUCUGGAGAUACUCUCCAGAUGGGAGAGAGUUUCCUGUGGGCAAACUUUAGGUUGUAAAUUGACUCUUGUCUCUAGAGACAAUCUUCUGGUGGGAGAGAUUUCCAGCUCUGGGGCUUCUAGGUAUGCACACAGUUAGAUGAGCUUGUCCUGUAGUGUCUGGUGAAGGGAAGGUAGAGGUUCUAAUUGCAUUUCUAAAGAGUUAAGUGGGAAGUGGGGAACAGGGGCAGAGGAGGAAAGAGAAAAAAAGAAAAAAAAUUUAAAAAAUAACUCGUUCUCUUUCUCUUAGGGAAAUGGCAGUUCUGGGUUACAGCAUCCCAUUGUACACAAAACUUGUCUAACCCACGGCCCAUGAGCUGCAAGAAGCCCAGGAAGGCUUUGACUGUGGCUCAACACAUUCAAAGAAAGUUUGUAAACUUUCUUUAAACAUUAUGAGAUUAUUUUGCGGUUUUUUUUUUUUAAGCUCAUCAGCUGUCAUUAGUGUUAGUGUAUUUUAUGUGUGAUCCAAAACAAUUCUUCCUAUGUGGCCCAGGGAAGCCAAAAGAUUGGACACCCUUGCUGUACACCUUAAAUACAGAGUUUUGUGUUUCAAUUUUCCCUCAGUUAAGCUGGGAAAAAGUUGCCAUACCCAAAAAUGACACAUAAAAUAGCUGUGUCAAAUUUUUAUUUUAAUCUUGAAUGUCUUUCUUUUACAAUAAAUAAACUUCUCUCACAUGAUUUUUUAAUAGUUUCAGAGUGUUUCAUUUUAUGGAUAUUUCAGAACUCAAUAAGUUCCUAUUUAUUUAUUUAUUUAUUUGGACACUGUGGCAGCGUCUAAUUUUUGCUAAAUCUUGAGACACAUUCUUAAAUUUCAAAGCUGGAAUUACUGAGUCUAGUGGGUCUUAAGACAUAUUGUUAUCUGCCUCUCAAGAAGGUUUUGACUCACUUCAAAUGAAGUCAAACAUCUUCUCCAUGUAUUUAACAUUCAAAUAUUUUGCAUGUGUGAUUGUUGUCUUUGCUUAUUUUUUGAGUUUUCACUGAGUUACAACAAUUCUUUGGUUUACUAUAAAAAGAGAAAAAAAUCAUUAUGAGCCAAAUGGAUUUUGAGAAAUAUAAUCUGAGUUUUCUCUUUACAGAGGUUUUUGUUUUGUUUUUGCCUAGAGCAUAGGGUUAACUGGACUAAUUUACACUUUUCCAUUAGCUUUAUCUUAUUCAGGAUAAUAUGAGCCAGUUUUCUUAACCCUAAUAGGGCAUAUUUCUGUUUUUUCUUAACUCGUUCUUUUUCUAGUGUAUUGCUAAGUUUUCCAAUUUAGUUCUUGCCUUAAAAAUGACGUUGUCUAACAUUAUAAUUGUAAAAUACUGGAAAAUGGUUUUGUCAUUCUUGCUGCAGGCAGUCAACAACUCAAGGUGACUGACCACUAGGUUAGCUGGAAGUACAUCUUGAUUGGUACAGAUUCCGGUUUCUAAGUGAAUAAGCAGAGAACACACUGAGUGCCUGACGAUGUGACAUGCUAUCAUGUCACAUGAAACUAUCAGAACUUGCUAGGGUUCCAGAUCCUGCACUAGAAAUUCCUCCCAGAUGAGGGUUUUUUUUUUUUUCCCCCUCCUGUGAGAAAUAAACCAGAAGAAAGGAGAAGAUGGAUUUUUGCAAUUUAGUUUCAUGAUUUUAAGGACCAAAUCUCAACUUUAUUUCUCUAGAAUAGGAAAUAGAGAUAUCAUUGUCAUCUUAUGUUUUUUCUCACUUGAUCUGAUCUAUGAUCUGUUGAAACUUGAUCAUCUGUUCUUGCAAGUGAGGUUUGUUGCUACAUUUCUGAACUUCAAAAUUAGAAAAAUAAUAUCCUGAAGCUUCUAAUACUUACAGUUGAGCAGACUUUAUAUUCUGUUUACACUUACCAUUUUACAUAAAUCUUUAUGCCUUUUAUUUAGAAGACAAGAUAAAAAUUAAAAGAGAAAAAAUAUCCCACAUAUACAUAAUACCUCUCUAUGGACUAUUCUUUUGUGGGAUAAGGUAGGUGGGAGAAUGGGAGAGUAGCAGGCCCAUUAGAAUACAAAACAUGUAAGUAACUAUUAUUUUUAAAUUGGGGCCACUUGUACACCAAGAUAUGAUUGCCUUUUUAAGAGAUCCAUGUUCUAGAGAACUGAUUUCCUUAAAUAACUCAUUUCUGUUUCCAAGUUUCUACUCACAAAUGUACUAAUGUCCUAAAGGGCAUGAAGGAUAUAUAUAUAUAUAUAUAUAUAUAUAUAUAUAUGUAGAACAGUGAUACAGUAAAUAUGAACAGUAAUAUAGUAAAUCACUGUUCUUCAAAAUAUAUAUAAACAGAGAUAUAGUAAAUCACUGUUCUUUUAUAAACUGGGACCUUAUUCUAUUUUUUAUCCCUAUAAUAAUAUAUUUUAUAACUUCUGUUUAGAAUAUUGGCAGAUAAUAGAACUUGAUUGCCUGAUUUUCAAUUUAAACACUUAUCAAUCAAAUACAUAAGUACUUGUUCAGGGUGGAGAAAAGUUAAUACUUUAUAUUAUCUAUGUAUCUCUGAAAGACAAGAAAGUUUCUGUACAUUUACAGACUACAAAUAUAGAAGUUAAAGCAAAUGCCUUCUAGCUGGCAUAAUCUUAGGAAAAAAGCAGACUAAAGUAUUAUAAAUUGGUAGCAGAAGAUGUGUAAAGACAAGACAUGAUCACCUAGAUAAUAUAAAUCAAUUUUCUAUUCUUUUGCUGAAGCCUAGACCCCACACGGCAGCCUGAUGUAAUUCCAUUACCAUGCUUAAUUACUUGGCACUUGUAUAGCCUUUUUAUUUUUGUGUUACUGUUAUUCCUGGUAAAUCAUUCAGAAGAAAUAAAUUAGCUUGCCACUCAAAAUUAACUACUAUGGUGCAUUGCUGCCCCACCCCGCAAAAGAUGAGUUGACAGCUACUGGGCGUUAAUCUAGCCAUUUUUUGAUAACAGAGUAUCUCUUUGCACAUAGUUAUGAGAGUUAUAAACAUUCCAAAUGUAAUUAUCUCAGUCCUUUACAACUUGAAAGUCUAAUUAAAGAAAGUUUAAGACACUAUAAAUCUUAAGGAAUUAGGUUUAUAAUGUGGAACCCAGUCAGAGUUUGGGAUUACAUUGGAAAGUGAGUAUAUUGAAAAGGAUUGCAGAAACAUUUCUCUCAGCCAGAAUUUAAUUGCUCAGAAAACUGAAUUUCAGUAGAAUAGAUGAAAAGUGUUAGGCAGAGAGACUCAGACCUAUGACUGCUGAAGAAAGAGCUAAUUCCAUAUCCCUUUUUCUAGAUGCCCUGGAAUACACUUGUGUCAGUGACAAAUGCUGCUUUGCUGUGCUACACCGAGUACAAGGUCGUGGUAAGACAUGACUGGGAAGCAGUUACCAGAGACAAGCAAGGAUAGCGCUUUGACUGCAUCCUCUGCUGGUGGCUUCUGUAGUUAUGCAUAAAAUUUACUCUGAUCUGUUUACUUUUAUAGCCUGUCUUUACUUUGUUUCUUUUAAUAUUAUGCAUGUUUAGGCUAUGCUUUUUCUUUAAAUAUGUGAGCAAAUCUAUUGGUGUAAUGUACUCAUUACCCUAAAACCUAUAUUUUAAUGGACCUGAAGACCAUAAGGUAGAAGAUCAGAAGAAAAAGAAAAUGCAUACAUUUUUAUCUUUAAAACAAUUCACUUUUAAGAUUAUUUUCUUGAAAGGUAUACCUUUGAUGGAGCCGAAUCUGGUUCCUUCAGGCAGAUACAAUAGGAUACAAUAGGAUAGGACUUCUUGGGUAAAAAAGGUGUAGUAAUCUGUGAGUCUCACCGGAAGGAGAAAGGAAAUUAUUCAUUAAUUUGGCUGAGGCCAGGGUAGUAAGCAGAUUUAUUAUAAAUAUUGGCAGCAGAGGAGUACUUGAAAAGUGCUUAUAAAGUUAGAUCAUCUAUUUUUCCAAGCAAUAUUCUUCAUGUCAUUCCACCUUGCAAAAACUUUGUGGAAAGGAAUAGGCAUAUGAAUGAGCAAUGAAUAGACUUUGCAUUAGAUUGGUAAUCUUGCUACUAGUACAUUAAUUUACUUGUAUUACUGAUAUUUUAAGAUAGGAUUUUUACAGAUGUUUAUAUAUUUUUAAAAAGCCUAUUUUUUUCUUUACCCAUUUUCUCAAUUUUUUUAACCUCGAAAACUUUUUCCUCCCUGAGAGAAAUACAUGGGCUAUCUUCAGCACAGAACACAAACUCUGCCUUCUUUUCUCAAGUCCAGUGAUUCAAGUUUGACACACCACACCACGGUGGAUGUGCCUUUCAUGACGCAUCUUCUCAGCAGCACUAGAAGAUACAUCCAAAGUCCUGUGAGCAAGGUCUGUGGUAUCUGUUUAUUAUGGCAGCCCAGUGAGACUAAGACAGGCCAUCAAAAGACGUGAACGUUUUGGACCUUCUCUUGGGCCCUAGUAAACAGAAAUCAGAAGGAAGAAAACUUUGCUAAUGCUCUGCCAAGCCUCACUUUUCUGUCAUGAUUGGAAGGUUUGAUGUUAUCCAGAAUUUCUCAUGGAAGAUGGAAGAGCUGCAGCAUUACAAUGAAAGCCAUCUUGCAACAGCCUGAGUUCCUUUUUCUUUUACCUGAGUCAGGAACAAAAAAAUAUUCAUGUAUAUUCCCCAAAAGGACAAAAAAGGAUCCAAUGAAAGGGCUAGGUUGUAGAAAGGUCAGAGCAUUUUAGUGCUAAAUGACAACUAAAAUCACUCUCUCUGCACACCUUACAUUGUAAAAGAGAAAGUUAAGACCCAGAAAAAGAUCAAGAGUUUUUCAUUGGUCGUUACGAUAUUAAAGAAGUUUUGAAAUAUAUGGCUAGCUUUCUCACAUCUAUGAGCUGAUUAGACCUCAGCCAAAGACUUCACGGGAGCCCUCUGCAAGUUUCUAGAGUUCUUUGUGCAGCUUUUCCUCUUGGGUUCUCUGACUUGCAAACUCAAACCGCCAGGCUUUUCUUAGACUCAGCUCUGCCUCCUCAUCUCAGAGAGACCCUACAGUGGGGCCUGGGAACCCUCCAGGCUCUGAGCUGGACAAUGGAGCUCACCUCCAUUUUGUUUGAUUCCUCUCUCUCGGCAAUCACUCUUCUGUGCUACUGAUGUCCGGUGUCUGAAAUUCAUUUUUUUCAUAUCUUUUGUUGUUUGCUUGGUGUCAUUUCCUGCAGGAGGGUAAAUCUGGCUCCUGUUGUUCCAUCUGUCCUCCAGCAGCUUCCCAUACAGGCAGCUCACUUCACUUCAUUUUCAAUUUUAAUGACUUCUGUUCUUUAUUACGCCUUUUGUCUACUUUUUUUUUUGUUUUGGUUAUUCUUCUUGUUCUUUUUCUAACUUCUUGAGUUCAUAUUAAGUUAGUUAGCUUUUAGUCCUUCUAAGUCAAUUACUGAAUGUUUUGAAGUUUUCACUUUGUGUUACUUUAUAUUUUUUAGGCUACUUAUUAAACUAAACCACGUUCUGAACUGUUACUGCUACUGGAAACCAGUCCCGAUCCAGACCCCAAAAGAGGAUUCUUGGAUCUUGCACAAGAAAGAAAGGACACAGUGAAGGAGUGAGAUGUGAAGGUGCUCUGUCAUUGCCUCAGUCAAGACUUUCAUGGUACAUUGGAAGAAAGAGAAGCGUGAACAAAUUGCAUGAUACUUGAGGUCAUGCUGUGUACCUGUAUUGAACAAGAAUAAGGGAAGAAAGCUGGGAACCUGGAUCUCCCAUAUAUUGGAAGUUUUGUAAAAACCUUGAGGGUCCCUUCCACUACAUAUGGGGAUUAUGGGAACUGCAAUUCAAGAUGAGAUUUGAGUGAGGACACAGCCAAACCACAUGGUAAGUCCUGGUGGGAACCGUGGUCAUUGCUAUAUAGGAUGACUAUUACAGUUCUAGAAAUAAACUCUUUCCUAGAG